Molecule: microRNA precursor, 60 nt
Filed under: Heliconius melpomene (postman butterfly)
Lineage: Eukaryota; Metazoa; Arthropoda; Insecta; Lepidoptera; Nymphalidae
Description: Hme-Mir-10-P1-v2_pre stem-loop
Source: RNAcentral
UACCCUGUAGAUCCGAAUUUGUUUGAAGUGAGGCGACAAAUUCGGUUCUAGAGAGGUUUG